Molecule: ribosomal RNA, 276 nt
Filed under: uncultured bacterium
Lineage: Bacteria
Description: partial 16S ribosomal RNA
Rfam family: Bacterial small subunit ribosomal RNA
Source: RNAcentral
GACGAACGCUGGCGGCGUGCUUAACACAUGCAAGUCGAGCGGUAAGGCCCUUCGGGUACACGAGCGGCGAACGGGUGAGUAACACGUGGGUGACCUGCCCUCAGCUCUGGGAUAAGCCCGGGAAACUGGGUCUAAUACCGGAUAUGACCUUCUGUCGCAUGACGGUUGGUGGAAAGUUCUUCGGCUGGGGAUGGGCCCGCGGCCUAUCAGCUUGUUGGUGGGGUGAUGGCCUACCAAGGCGGNGACGGGUAGCCGGCCUGAGAGGGCGACCGGCCA